ACACUAGUGGUUUAGCAUUAGAAUUCUUGUCUUCCACGUGGGAGGCCUGGGUUCAAUUCCCAGCCAGCGCA
RNAcentral lists this transfer RNA (71 nucleotides) under Loxodonta africana (African savanna elephant). It matches the Rfam family "tRNA". Rfam says of the family: Transfer RNA (tRNA) molecules are approximately 80 nucleotides in length. Their secondary structure includes four short double-helical elements and three loops (D, anti-codon, and T loops). Further hydrogen bonds mediate the characteristic L-shaped molecular structure. tRNAs have two regions of fundamental functional importance: the anti-codon, which is responsible for specific mRNA codon recognition, and the 3' end, to which the tRNAs corresponding amino acid is attached (by aminoacyl-tRNA synthetases). tRNAs cope with the degeneracy of the genetic code in two manners: having more than one tRNA (with a specific anti-codon) for a particular amino acid; and 'wobble' base-pairing, i.e. permitting non-standard base-pairing at the 3rd anti-codon position. The record is from Rfam by way of RNAcentral. Lineage: Eukaryota; Metazoa; Chordata; Mammalia; Proboscidea; Elephantidae.